CCUACGGGUGACAGCAGUAAGGGAUAUUGGUCAAUGGGGGAAACCCUGAACCAGCAACGCCGCGUGAGGGAAGACGGUUUUCGUAUUGUACACCUCUGUCCUCUGUGACGAUGAUGACGGUAGCAGAGGAGGAAGCUCCGGCUAACUACGUGCCAGCAGCCGCGGUAAUACGUAGGGAGCGAGCGUUGUCCGGAUGUACUGGGUGUAAAGGGUGCGUAGGCGGCUUGGCAAGUCAGUAGUGAAAUCCAUGGGCUUAACCCAUGAACUGCUAUUGAAACUGUCGAGCUUGAGUGAAGUAGAGGUAGGCGGAAGUCCCGGUGUAGCGGUGAAAUGCAUAGAUAUCACGAAGAACACCGAUUGCGAAGGCAGCAUACCGGCGCUCAACUGACGCUCAUGCACGAAAGUGUGGGUAUCGAACAGGAUUAGAUACCCCUGUAGUC
This 440-nucleotide ribosomal RNA is filed under the name uncultured bacterium. Its description in RNAcentral is "partial 16S ribosomal RNA". It matches the Rfam family "Bacterial small subunit ribosomal RNA", at positions 338 to 795 of the family's 1533-position model. The record is from RNAcentral.